RNAcentral lists this ribosomal RNA (254 nucleotides) under uncultured bacterium. RNAcentral's name for it is "partial 16S ribosomal RNA". It matches the Rfam family "Bacterial small subunit ribosomal RNA", at positions 524 to 776 of the family's 1533-position model. The record is from RNAcentral.
UACAUGGGGUGCAAACGUUGCUCGGAAUCAUUGGGCGUAAAGAGCUCGUAGGCGGUGUGUCGCGUCGGCCGUGAAAACCUGCAGCUUAACUGUGGGCUUGCGGUCGAUACGGGCAUCACUGGAGUUCGGCAGGGGAGACUGGAAUUCCUGGUGUAGCGGUGAAAUGCGCAGAUAUCAGGAGGAACACCGGUGGCGAAGGCGGGUCACUGGGAGUUUUCUGACGCUGAGGAACGAAAGCCAGGGUAGCGAACGGG